RNAcentral lists this ribosomal RNA (1162 nucleotides) under Bacillus licheniformis. RNAcentral's name for it is "bacterial SSU rRNA". It matches the Rfam family "Bacterial small subunit ribosomal RNA", at positions 36 to 1192 of the family's 1533-position model. The record is from RNAcentral. Lineage: Bacteria; Bacillati; Bacillota; Bacilli; Caryophanales; Bacillaceae.
CAUGGGGCGAGCUAUACAUGCAAGUCGAGCGGACCGACGGGAGCUUGCUCCCUUAGGUCAGCGGCGGACGGGUGAGUAACACGUGGGUAACCUGCCUGUAAGACUGGGAUAACUCCGGGAAACCGGGGCUAAUACCGGAUGCUUGAUUGAACCGCAUGGUUCAAUCAUAAAAGGUGGCUUUUAGCUACCACUUACAGAUGGACCCGCGGCGCAUUAGCUAGUUGGUGAGGUAACGGCUCACCAAGGCGACGAUGCGUAGCCGACCUGAGAGGGUGAUCGGCCACACUGGGACUGAGACACGGCCCAGACUCCUACGGGAGGCAGCAGUAGGGAAUCUUCCGCAAUGGACGAAAGUCUGACGGAGCAACGCCGCGUGAGUGAUGAAGGUUUUCGGAUCGUAAAACUCUGUUGUUAGGGAAGAACAAGUACCGUUCGAAUAGGGCGGUACCUUGACGGUACCUAACCAGAAAGCCACGGCUAACUACGUGCCAGCAGCCGCGGUAAUACGUAGGUGGCAAGCGUUGUCCGGAAUUAUUGGGCGUAAAGCGCGCGCAGGCGGUUUCUUAAGUCUGAUGUGAAAGCCCCCGGCUCAACCGGGGAGGGUCAUUGGAAACUGGGGAACUUGAGUGCAGAAGAGGAGAGUGGAAUUCCACGUGUAGCGGUGAAAUGCGUAGAGAUGUGGAGGAACACCAGUGGCGAAGGCGACUCUCUGGUCUGUAACUGACGCUGAGGCGCGAAAGCGUGGGGAGCGAACAGGAUUAGAUACCCUGGUAGUCCACGCCGUAAACGAUGAGUGCUAAGUGUUAGAGGGUUUCCGCCCUUUAGUGCUGCAGCAAACGCAUUAAGCACUCCGCCUGGGGAGUACGGUCGCAAGACUGAAACUCAAAGGAAUUGACGGGGGCCCGCACAAGCGGUGGAGCAUGUGGUUUAAUUCGAAGCAACGCGAAGAACCUUACCAGGUCUUGACAUCCUCUGACACCCUAGAGAUAGGGCUUCCCCUUCGGGGCAGAGUGACAGUGUGCAUGAUGGUCGUCAGCUCGUGUCGUGAGAUGUGGUUAGUCCCGCACGAGCGCACCCUGGAAUCUAAGUGGCAAGCAAUCAGUGCCACUCUAGUGACUGGCGGGUGCACAAUCGAGACGGUGAGGAAUGAACCGUCUCAAAU